CUCGCGUGCCCGGGGUCGGUGUAAUUCCGAGCCGGCGGUCAUAGUCCGCGACCCGAGUCCCGCAAGGGGCGAGGUUGAACCGGUGGAACUCCGGUACCGACGGUGAAAGUCCGGAGGAGAGGCGCACGCU
This 130-nucleotide non-coding RNA is filed under the name Aeromicrobium sp. Root495. RNAcentral describes it as "FMN riboswitch aptamer (RFN element)". It matches the Rfam family "FMN riboswitch aptamer (RFN element)". From Rfam's summary of the family: The RFN element is a highly conserved domain that is found frequently in the 5'-untranslated regions of prokaryotic mRNAs that encode for flavin mononucleotide (FMN) biosynthesis and transport proteins. This element is a metabolite-dependent riboswitch that directly binds FMN in the absence of proteins. The record is from Rfam by way of RNAcentral. RNAcentral also lists the same sequence under 1 other name. Lineage: Bacteria; Bacillati; Actinomycetota; Actinomycetes; Propionibacteriales; Nocardioidaceae.